Molecule: ribosomal RNA, 253 nt
Filed under: uncultured bacterium
Lineage: Bacteria
Description: partial 16S ribosomal RNA
Rfam family: Bacterial small subunit ribosomal RNA
Source: RNAcentral
UACAGAGGUCUCAAGCGUUGUUCGGAUUCAUUGGGCGUAAAGGGUGCGUAGGCGGCGCGGUAAGUCGGGUGUGAAAUCUCGGAGCUUAACUCCGAAACUGCAUUCGAUACUGCCGUGCUUGAGGACUGGAGAGGAGACUGGAAUUUACGGUGUAGCGGUGAAAUGCGUAGAUAUCGUAAGGAACACCAGUGGCGAAAGCGGCUUCCUGGUCCAGCACCGACGUUCAGGCACGAAAGCGUGGGGAGCAAACAGG